Molecule: long non-coding RNA, 2075 nt
Organism: Sorghum bicolor (sorghum)
Lineage: Eukaryota; Viridiplantae; Streptophyta; Magnoliopsida; Poales; Poaceae
Exons: 4
Source: RefSeq, a predicted model, not a curated record
CAGCGACUCGGCGGUUCUGCCACCGCGGCCGCGGCGAUGCUCCGGCAAUAUUCAGUAUUUCUAGGUGCCAUGGCCGAGUUCGGGCGGCGGAGCCUCGUGAUCGCGUGGAUGGAGGUCGAGUCGGCUUCUUCCGGCGCAGGGUUUCCACGAGAAUAACAGGAUGAUCUGGUCCCUGAGUCAGUCAGACAAUGGUUUGUGUACUCGCUUCGCAAUGGUGGUGUUGAGCCUUUGAGAUGAUUUCCACUAUAAUGGUACGUAGUACAAAUUUGGGAUCUGAAAUUUGUAGUCCUUGAGUAAAUGUGUGCUCUUCGAUCCUUGGGAAAAACUAGAUUAAAGUUUAUUUGAGAUAGUUUGUAUGUGCUUUAGUAUCUAGCGAAAUGCAAUGGCGCUAGUUCUGUGGUUCAUUUAUUUGUGCUUACCAGUUACUGCUACUUCCGAGUUGGAUUUUCUGGUACCCUUUGGCCUGACUCGUGCUCUACUGUCCUUAAACAUAACAAUCACCAAGCGUAAGAUACUCAAUCUGAUUGUUGAUGCUUUCAUCUUUCAGAAUCUUAGAGUUUAUCGCUGAUAAAAGGGUAUGUGAUGUACUACGAGUACAAGCAUUUUCACUUCUGCGUUUCUGUCAGUCAUUCAUGGACAUGAGAAACUUAUCCCCGUUCAUCCGAUCCAAAAAAGAAAAAACCGGAACAUAUUCCUAUGUACUUUUUGGUACUCCCUAACUGUUGUUCAUUGUGCUCUUUGUCACUUCUUCCCUGGCUGCUGCCCUCUAUUGAUGCCCUGUAGGAUGUUGAGGUUCCACGACAUGAGAGGACCUGAAAAGUUGAAAAACAUGUUUCCAUUUGGCAUGUUUAUUAUACUCUGUAACAGGUUCAGAGGGCAUAGUGCUGCUCCAGUGUAAUUUGGUACUUUCCACAAGACACAUUGAUUGAUAUGUGCAUCGUCUUCAUUAAUGUGUCUAAUUCCUGCUUGAUAGCAUGUCAGUAUACAACUGACGGGGUAAGUAAAAUCUCAUUCAGUUAGUUUUGCAGAGUGACACAGUUGUGGACUGGACAUAGGAGACAACUCAGAACGCCCUGAAUUCUAGAUAUCUCAUGAUCCAAGUGAAAGAAAUCAAACAAAAAGAAAUACUGCAGGCCAGUCAAACCUUCUCGUUUGAAUAGGAGUUUUCAAAAGCAUUUAAGGUGUCCCUUUGUUUUCUGUGACAAAUUUGUUUCUCUUUUGUGCAAGACAUGUUGGUCCAACACACCACGUGAGAACUCCAAUGAGUACUCAUGCUGGUGGCUGCAAAUGCGCGUCAGGCCUCAAACUAUUUUGCUGAAAGAUGUUGGUCCAACACACCACGUGAGAACUCCAAUGAGUGCUGCCCUGGAAAGCAGGAAAUGCUGGUUCCAAGAUCCAACACAGUCUCAAAGAAAAUGGCAAGGAGUGGGCUAUAUGUCUCCUUUCAUAAAAAAAAAGGGGGACAACAAUGCUGGCCAGUCACACGGUAUUUUGGUGCUUUCGAUGGGAACGUCUUCAGAUCCAUUUUUCGCUGACGCUGAGGCCUACAGAUUUCCUCUGUUCAAGGUUGGCAAGUGCUGUGGGGUUGUACAAUGUUUCUGACUCGAGACUUUUGGAUCAAACCUUUGCAAGCAUAGUCCCGAAUCUAACUUUUUGUUGCAAAUGCACACAUGUGGUACAUUGGGUUUGGUGGGCAAAUAUAAAGGGGGGGCCUCCUACUGUUUGCGUUGGCUACUUCCGGGGAGCUCCUCCCUUCGCAGCAUUUGAUUCCCGCCUCUCGCGGGCAGGGGAGCUUUUAAAGUGCCUGGCAAACCUGUUGCCUCCGCUGGUCCUCUCCACGUUCUGGUUCUGAUUGGCGCCGAAGAUUCCUGGUUGGUAUAACGUUGCAUCAUCAGCCGGAAUGGUUUCCGGGCUAACCGAACGAGCCCUAAAUCAUUCCAUACUAGUACAUGACCAAUCAGGUUAACAAAUUUUCGUCCUGAUGAAAUCAUGACACACACUUUUCCAGAUUUGUUGUGAGUUUAUAUAUGGUAAGACAUUGCUUCGAAAUGGAAAGGUCCUCAGUGUAUCGUCCU